AUAACUAAGCUUUUGUCUAAAAUCUAGCAAUAACUUUGAGAGGUACUUGUGUUGAUACUUAAGAAAGAACAGAAUCAGGAGUCGAAUUUUGUACCAUAUUCGUCUAGUUUUCUCGCUAAAAAGGAUAAUCUAUCUCGUUGUAGCACACUCCUUUCUGGUUUACCAGAUUUUCCUGUCCCUGCUCCAUAAGUGAUUUGAGCACGCUUGUACUGUGCUAUUGGCUCCACCAUAAAUACAGAUCGUAAUGCUAGCAGAUUUUCUUCUUAAUAUGUUGUCUUUUGUGGCAUCAAGUUUAGAGUUUUACUGUAGUCAACUGAACUGGACUUCAAAUGAAUUUGGAAAGACCCCUUUCUGGUUGAUUGCCUUGUAUAUUGAAAUGUUGUGUCUCAAAGUUAUCUGAUCUUCUCUGACUUGGUAUUAUUUAUACUCUGAUUUACUGAGCUUCUACUGUUGUACUAUCAG
RNAcentral lists this long non-coding RNA (462 nucleotides) under Nicotiana benthamiana. RNAcentral's name for it is "long non-coding RNA (NBEN_LNC012216)". The record is from RNAcentral. Lineage: Eukaryota; Viridiplantae; Streptophyta; Magnoliopsida; Solanales; Solanaceae.